Molecule: long non-coding RNA, 1102 nt
Filed under: Vulpes vulpes (red fox)
Lineage: Eukaryota; Metazoa; Chordata; Mammalia; Carnivora; Canidae
Description: lncRNA (ENSVVUG00000009877.1)
Source: RNAcentral
UCAAGCCCAGGUACUACUAAGAAUGUCAUCAAAAACUUUAUUGUGGGGAUCCCUGGGUGGCGCAGCGGUUUGGCGCCUGCCUUUGGCCCAGGGCGCCAUCCGGGAGACCCUGGAUCGAAUCCCACGUCGGGCUCCCGGUGCAUGGAGCCUGCUUCUCCCUCUGCCUGUGUCUCUGCCUCUCUCUCUCUCUCUGUGACUAUCAUAAAAAAAAAUUAAAAAAAAACUUUAUUGUGUGCAUAGUUACAUGUAGAAAGAAAACCUAUAAACCACUUAAAACUAUGGAUAACUGUAGAUCUUGAACUUGGUUCCUUAUGAUUCUUCAAAAUGAGUAUUAUGAGGGAAAGGAUUUUGUAUCUUGGACAAAAAUAGUUUUGGAGACCUAUAAAUGUUUCCCAUUGAUGUCAACAUAUCACACAGGCAGGUAGCAUAUCUCUAUCUGGCCCCACAAUUAUUUGACAACAUUUUUGUCACAGCAGAGGAUCUCAGAUGGUACAGUGGUGUUUGUAUCCCAUCAGCAGCCAAAAGCCAGGAGUUGUCUGCCAAAGUUGUAAGCGCAUGUAUGCUGUGUAUGCUGUGGCGUAGCUGACAGCGGCCUCAAGGAGUAUGUCAUAGGAAAUUCUAAGGACGAUGAAGCCAGACUCCACUCUGCAUGGAUCCACAGCAGUUUAGGGGUACGACCUGUCUGAUCCUGGCAUAACUCCCAGAGAUGGUACUUCCACCUUGCCCAGAGCAAGAGCUCCAUGGAGAAUGGCCAUAAAGAGUCACUCUGAAGCAGAUGAAAUCUCAGCAUGAGAGAGAGAUGAGUGUUCUAGUUGAAGUGAGGGCCAUGUUCCAGGAGACACAUCAGCUCUGCCCUUUCAGCUUCCACUAUACCUUUUCCAGGAGAACUUGGAUCAUUUCCACAUCAAGAAAUGCAGUUUGGAAACCCACUGGACCAGGAAAGCAAAGAUCGCUACAGAGUGAAUUCGAACCAACUUAAAAAAGUCAAUACCAAGCCUGGCACUGAAGAAAAAUGAUACCGCUUCCAUAUGUGCUCUGAAGCUCCUGAGAAGAGAGAAAUUAGCAGCAAAAAAUUAAAAAAAUAAUAUAAAAAAUAUAUAUA